UAUUUUUUUACGAGUUCAUCUGCCCAAGAACCGCCCCUCCCGACUACGUUUUCCUUGUGACAAUUCAUAAAUUCAUCUUCCCAAGAUGGCCAUUCAAGCACCCCAAUAUGAUGAUUUCAUGACUCUACAUCGGUUAGGGUUCUCUUGUAUUUUUGCUUUCUUCUCCUAAUUCGAUUCCAUCCCUCCUCUCAUCCGGUUAGAAUUCUCUUCGAAGUAACUACUUGUUUCUUAUAAUCUAGCUUUAUCAGCUACAAUCCCUUCUCUCUAUCCCUGGCGAAAAGGGACGGUGAGUCUUCAAAUCUUCAACGAAACCUUUAUAUAUGUUGCUUCUUCAAAUCGUUACUCCUUACUUUUACUUAUCAAAAUCGACAAUGGUACCGGUUCCAAUCUCAACAUCUCUCAGCGUCAAUUGAAAACUCUCAUAUUUCAUUCUCUGUAUCUCUAGCAAAAUGGCAACGAAUUCGACAAUGAGUCUUCACAUCUUGAAUGAAAUCUCUUCUUUAAAUUGUUACUUCUUACUCACUUAUCGAAAUCGACAGUGGUAGUUUAGGUUACUUCUUACUGUUACUUAUCCAAGUCAAUGGAUGUUGUUCGUUUUCUGGUAGUUCAUGUUGUGUUUUUUUUUCCCGAUUACGUGUUUUUGUUCUAUUUCUCGAAAAUUACUGUUUUUAAACUUUGUUUGCAAUUCAUUGUUGUUGGGUUUACUGUAUUUUACCUUAUUGAUUCCGUUUUCGUUGUAUUUUCUAGGAUGUUCGUUUUCUUUUGAUUUUGGUAUUCCGUUCAGUAUUGGAUCGAAGAGAAGGGGAUUUUCUUUGUCUCUAUUGAUCUCUUAGUAAUAGGAUUUGUGAGUUUGCAAUCGACAAGAAUAAGGGGGAUUUUCCUUGUCUAAAUUGGAAAAGAGGGGAAAGGGAUUUGAGGUCCCAGAAUUAGGUUGAUAAGCUUGGCAAGGAUUCUCUUGUGAACUAAGACAAGAUGUCUUCAAAAUAGUUGGCAGGUGAUUUGACUUCCUUGCAAAUUUGGUGUUUGACACACUGUGUUUGAAAGGGACCAUCACUUAAGAAGAGGACUUACAGUUUCACUUUCCAGGUUUUAAGCAAUCUAGGUUCAUCCAGGUUCGGAAAGAGCUUUUUGAUAUCUUAAAAUGAACUCCAAAAAUUCCUUUUAUGUCUUGAAUGUACGCAUGGCAUGCUUACGUUUUACUUAAGAUGUAUCCUGACACAUAAUAGGAGUUAUAAACUCAGUUAUUUAGAGCACCUGAUAUUCCAAUCUACAAUCACCAUAAAAUAGCAUAUUGCAAGAUUUCCACAAGAAGAAUUAUUUAGGUUGA
Long non-coding RNA from Cynara cardunculus var. scolymus (artichoke), 1327 nucleotides. RefSeq lists it as uncharacterized. NCBI's taxonomy places the organism in Eukaryota, Viridiplantae, Streptophyta, Magnoliopsida, Asterales, Asteraceae. The record is from RefSeq and is a predicted model, not a curated record. The transcript has 4 exons.